AAGGAAUGGCCCUUGUCGAUCCCACAGCUUGUGUGGAAAAAUAUCAUCACCAUCAUAAGCAUCAAUGAACACCAAAUCAUAGAUGUCAUGGCUGUUGAGUACAAAGUCCUCUGCAUCUGAUCUGUGAAGGAACAGCCGCUCAUGCAUGUGUUCCCACAAUACUUCGUCUGCAUAAGAAGAUUGAUCAAAGGAUAACUUAUCUGAUGUUUCUUUUACAGCAGAGGCAGGGAAGCCCAUUGCCUGAACAGAAGCCAUGACAACAACUGGAUCUAUCUCCACAAUGUGGACAGAAGCACCUGAAAAUAACAACAGAAAAUCUGAAUGCAUACUGUUAUAAGAGCUAUAUAUAACAUUUCAAGUUCAUUGUAGAAGAUUGACUAUUGCUGCCAUCAUGGUAUGUUGCUGGAAAGAAUCUUAACUUCAG
This 424-nucleotide long non-coding RNA is filed under the name Musa acuminata (dwarf banana). RNAcentral's name for it is "long non-coding RNA (MACU_LNC000073)". The record is from RNAcentral. Lineage: Eukaryota; Viridiplantae; Streptophyta; Magnoliopsida; Zingiberales; Musaceae.